RNAcentral lists this ribosomal RNA (119 nucleotides) under Crocodylus porosus (Australian saltwater crocodile). The record is from RNAcentral. Lineage: Eukaryota; Metazoa; Chordata; Crocodylia; Crocodylidae.
ACUUAUGGCCAUACCAGCCUGAACAUGCCUGAUCUUGUCUGAUCUUCGAAGCUAAGCAAGGUUGGGCCUGGUUAGUAUUUGGAUGGGAAACUGCCUGGGAAUACCCAGCACUGUAGGUU